GUGGGUAAUUUAAUCAGCAGGCGUUUACCCUUAUGCUGUGCUUGUGAUGAUGAGUGAGUUCUCAGAAGGUCUGAUGGUUUUAUAUGGGGCUUUUCCCCUCUUGCACUUUCUUCUCUCUCCUGCCACGAUGUGAUGAAGGACAUAUUUGCUUCCCCUUCCACCUUGAUUGUGUUUCCUGAGGCCUCCGCAGCCUUGCAGAAUGUGUUUUUUAGAUCCUGAAUCCCAGUGGAACAGCUGUCAUCAAGUGGUCUGAAGACCCCCACCAAGGAACCAAUUCAGCAGAAGAAUGCAGUUUUCUUCAUCUCUCUGUCCCAUGACUUCACCCUUUACUUUUCAAUCAAUCAGUGAUCCCCACACUUUAGCCCAUCACCCAUCCAGACCGCUUAAAAAAUCCAUCACCAGAUGUCUCAGGGAGGCACAUUUGAGGUUUCUUCUUGUCUCCUCCUUCAGCUGCUCUUUGAUUAUUAAACUCUUUCUGUGUGGCAACCCCUAGUGUCUCAGGAUAUUGAAUCACUCUGCAUUGGGCAAUGAACUUACGGUUACAAGACUGCUCCCCACAUCAGACAUGGUUGCAAAUAGUGUAUCCCCAGAUUACCCACACUUCUGUCUGACUUUAAUACAUAUUGGGAAUUCCCCAAAAACUCUUCCUCAGUUUUAGAUAUUUUGCUAUAAUAGCUCACAGAACUCAGG
Molecule: long non-coding RNA, 690 nt
Filed under: Homo sapiens (human)
Lineage: Eukaryota; Metazoa; Chordata; Mammalia; Primates; Hominidae
Description: HSALNT0052476
Source: RNAcentral